CCAAUAGUGUAUAUUAAAGUUGUUGCAGUUAAAAAGCUCGUAGUUGAAUUUCGAGACCGGUUUAUUGGUCGUGCUUUUGUACGUACUGGUAUUAUUGGUUUCUCCUUUCUGACGAAUCUUAAUGCCAUUAAUUUGGUGUUUUGGGGAAUCAGGACUGUUACUUUGAAAAAAUUAGAGUGUUUAAAGCAGGCUCACGCUUGAAUACAUUAGCAUGGAAUAACGGAAUAGGACGUUUGAUUCUAUUUUGUUGGUUUCUAGGAUCGACGUAAUGAUUAAUAGGGAUAGUUGGGGGCAUUAGUAUUCAAUUGUCAGAGGUGAAAUUCUUGGAUUUAUUGAAGACUAACUACUGCGAAAGCAUUUGCCAAGGAUGUUUUCAUUAAUCAAGAACGAAAGUUAGGGGAUCGAAGACGAUCAGAUACCGUCGUAGUCUUAACCAUAAACUAUGCCGACUAGGGAUCGGAUGAUGUUAAUUUUUUAAUGACUCAUUCGGCGCCUUACG
Molecule: ribosomal RNA, 499 nt
Filed under: uncultured Glomeromycotina
Lineage: Eukaryota; Fungi; Glomeromycota
Description: partial small subunit ribosomal RNA
Rfam family: Eukaryotic small subunit ribosomal RNA
Source: RNAcentral